AGCGUAUCCCUCAGAUUUAUUUUUUUUUCUUUUCCUUCCGUAUCCCUCUGUCUCGCACGAGACACCCGAGUCUCUUCUCUUCUCUUCCCUUCAGUUUUUCAUUUCUUCUUCUAUUUUGACCUAACGGCUGUGCUGUGCCUGUGGCUGCUCAAAUCUUCAAUCCAGAGCUGCACCUCUGCUGCGGCUGUGCCUGUGGCUGCUGCGAUUUCACGAUCUCCCGCCCAGGCCUAGAGCUGCACCUCUACUGCGGCUGUGCCUGUGGCUGCUGCGAUUUCACGAUCUCCCGCCCAGGCCUAGAGCUGCACCUCUGCUGCGGCUGUGCCUGUGGCUGCUGCGAUUUCACGAUCUCCCGCCCAGGCCUAGGUACACACAACACAAACCCGAUCAAGAGCCGCCACAACCACCUCCAUUGCCGAAGUUGUUUUGCAUUUCUGCUGCUGUGAGCUUUGAAAGUAUCGGAAAUUUUGCUUAAAUGGAGAAAUGGGGAGUAAAACAUCAACUACAAAUUUGAAUAAGACUCUCCCUUCUUAGUGUGAUUAAGAUAUGUUGGAAGGUUGCUUUGUGAAGGCUUUUGGAAGAAUGGAUGCAUCAUAUUUUUUGCAAGGAUAUUAUCUCUAUGUGUAUUUUUGUGAUGGGUUGUAAUCUUUAAUGUCAUAAGUUUAAUUUGGUUUGUGUAUUAUUUUUUGUAAUGGUUUGUAUAUUAUUUUUUGUAAUGGUUUGUAAGAGAUUAUAUUUCCUUUCUUGGUUGGUUGGUUGGUUGAAUGUGUGUAUGAGAUUUAUUUAGUUUAGAAACUUAGAUUGGAAUGAUGGAUUUUUAGGUUUUGAAAGAGAAGUAAAAAGUGUUUUGGGCUUG
Long non-coding RNA from Prunus persica (peach), 853 nucleotides. RefSeq lists it as uncharacterized. The transcript is spliced from 7 exons. The record is from RefSeq and is a predicted model, not a curated record. Lineage: Eukaryota; Viridiplantae; Streptophyta; Magnoliopsida; Rosales; Rosaceae.